GACGAACGCUGGCGGCGUGCUUAACACAUGCAAGUCGAACGGAAAGGCCCUGCUUUUGUGGGGUGCUCGAGUGGCGAACGGGUGAGUAACACGUGAGUAACCUGCCCUUGACUUUGGGAUAACUUCAGGAAACUGGGGCUAAUACCGGAUAGGAGCUCCUGCUGCAUGGUGGGGGUUGGAAAGUUUCGGCGGUUGGGGAUGGACUCGCGGCUUAUCAGCUUGUUGGUGGGGUAGUGGCUUACCAAGGCUUUGACGGGUAGCCGGCCUGAAGGGGUGACCGGCCACAUUGGGACUGAGAUACGGCCCGGACUCCUACGGGAGGCAGCAGUGGGGAAUAUUGCACAAUGGGCGGAAGCCUGAUGCAGCAACGCCGCGUGCGGGAUGACGGCCUUCGGGUUGUAAACCGCUUUCGCCUGUGACGAAGCGUGAGUGACGGUAAUGGGUAAAGAAGCACCGGCUAACUACGUG
This 468-nucleotide ribosomal RNA is filed under the name uncultured bacterium. RNAcentral describes it as "partial 16S ribosomal RNA". It matches the Rfam family "Bacterial small subunit ribosomal RNA", at positions 28 to 507 of the family's 1533-position model. The record is from RNAcentral.